Molecule: unclassified non-coding RNA, 1019 nt
Filed under: Hevea brasiliensis (rubber tree)
Lineage: Eukaryota; Viridiplantae; Streptophyta; Magnoliopsida; Malpighiales; Euphorbiaceae
Source: RNAcentral
AAAAUAAAUGGAUAUAUUAUUUAAUACUGAAUAAUAUUAUUAGGCUAAUGAAUCAUCCUAACACAUGAGAUAAGGGAAACGAGUUUUCCAUUGUAUUCUAUUUGCAUUGUCGUCUCCUGCAACUCAGCGGGGAUCACAUGAUCUGCACGUGGUUCUCCGAAUCAAAGGGUGUAAUUCCCAAAAAUUCACUUGGCAUUGUCUUCCAGUAUACUGAUGGCUCCCAGUCUGCCUCUCUAAGCACAUUCAAGAUCUCCUCCACCACUACUUCGCUCCCCUCUGCUGAAAGAUGGAUUCCAUCCACGAAGCAAGUUUUCAGCCAGUUUUCCUUUCGUUGUAUUGCAUUCCAAAGAUCAAUGCCUGGGAUCCUAAUCUCUUCCUCUCGGCACACCUCCAAACAAGCUUCUGAAUAUAUCCUGCAGCCCUCAUUGGUUCGACCAGUGUCAUUACCAAAAAAUUCGCGGAUCAUAUCCUCAUUGACAGGAGGAACACCGAGAAAGAUGACGCGAGUCUUCUCAGAAAGGCUCUUGAGAUGCCGAGCAAUUCGCCUCAUGUUAUCCUUAAACUCAUCAAGUGGAACAUGAGCAGAAGGCGCCCCAGAUGGAGGGAGCAUUGAAUCGUUGCCACCAAAAUAGACAAUAACCAGUGAAGGUUGUACAGAAGCAUCCUUGAUUGACAAACAACAGCAAAAUCAAUUAGUGUCUAAUCACAAAAGCUUAAUUAAUUAACAGCUUGGGAUGGUUUAAUUUUAAUCCAACAAUAAUAACCUUUGGGAAAACUUGAUGAAGAAUCUGUAGAGCAUUGCUUGAAUUCCAACCUCCAUAUCCUCUCAGCACAAUAUCUGCCUUACGAGCAUAGAUGUUAGCAAGAGCAGCACCCCAGCCUUGAUUGCCAUAACUGAACUGAACAAUGGAUGAUCCAAACAACACAAACUGUGGCCUAACUGGUCCUACCAUUCUGAUCUGAUCGAUCUUACACAGCCAACCCAAGCUAGCUUUUCUGCAAUUAAUGCUCCCCCUCUG